AAAAAGAUUAUGAUUAGAAGAGUAACUGUUGACCUCUAGUAUAGAAAGUUCCCUGUAGCUGGGAAGGGAGCCUAUGUGAGCAGCGAAUCACAUCUAUGAAUCAAAGAGCUGAAAGUUAUUAAUAAUCGAUGAGUAGGCUUGACCGGACAGUUCGUUAUCACUGUUGAAUUUUUCAACUUGAGGUUUGUUUCGUGAGGAACAAAUAAAAUGAGGUGGAACCACGGUAAAACGUCCUCUUA
RNAcentral lists this non-coding RNA (239 nucleotides) under Liquorilactobacillus oeni. RNAcentral's name for it is "Lactobacillus oeni T-box sequence". It matches the Rfam family "T-box leader". Rfam says of the family: Uncharged tRNA acts as the effector for transcription antitermination of genes in the T-box leader family. T-boxes are found upstream of many aminoacyl-tRNA synthetase genes and some amino acid biosynthetic genes usually in Gram-positive bacteria. Lineage: Bacteria; Bacillati; Bacillota; Bacilli; Lactobacillales; Lactobacillaceae. The record is from RNAcentral.